This 133-nucleotide ribosomal RNA is filed under the name Legionella micdadei. Its description in RNAcentral is "Tatlockia micdadei partial 16S ribosomal RNA". It matches the Rfam family "Bacterial small subunit ribosomal RNA", at positions 762 to 894 of the family's 1533-position model. Lineage: Bacteria; Pseudomonadati; Pseudomonadota; Gammaproteobacteria; Legionellales; Legionellaceae. The record is from RNAcentral.
UGGGAGCAAACAGGAUUAGAUACCCUGGUAGUCCACGCUGUAAACGAUGUCAACUAGUUGUUGGCCUUAUGAAUGAGGUUAGUGACGAAGCAAACGCGAUAAGUUGACCGCCUGGGGAGUACGGUCGCAAGAU